GGGUCAGUAGGUUGGUCGUGCCACCGGUACGUACUGGUCUCACUGAUUCCUCCUUCCUGAAGAACCGUAAUGCCAUUAAUUUGGUGUUGCGGGGAAACAGGACUGUUACUUUGAAAAGAUUAGAGUGUUUGAAGCAAGCUAACGCUUGAAUACAUUAGCAUGGAAUAAUGAAAUAGGACGAUCGAUCCUAUUUUGUUGGUUUCUAGGAUUGACGUA
RNAcentral lists this ribosomal RNA (216 nucleotides) under Glomeromycotina sp. RNAcentral's name for it is "partial small subunit ribosomal RNA". The stretch from base 40 to 216 matches the Rfam family "Eukaryotic small subunit ribosomal RNA", at positions 686 to 864 of the family's 1831-position model. Lineage: Eukaryota; Fungi; Glomeromycota. The record is from RNAcentral.